UGUCCCGCAUCCCUUCAUCCGGCCGGCUCUGCUACACCUCGGGGCGGUAAAGCCCGACCGCUGGGCGGGGGACCGAGAAAGCGAGGGGUCGGGAGUGGAACAGCGAGGUCGGGAGCCCCCCGGGUCGCGAAAGCUGCGUGACUGUGGCGGGGGAGGAGGCGGAUGGGGGGACGCGAGGGAGCCCGGCUGGGACUCCCGACCGCGGAUUCCUGGUCCCGCUCAGCCCCGGGACUGAGCGUCAGGCACGUCGCUUCACCCCCAGGAACUUCAGUUUUCUGGACAUAGAAGGAAGGGUUGGGGCUGGGGAGAGCUGGUCUAACACCUCGCCUGGACCGUGAGCCAGGGCUUCCGCGGGCCCGUAUUACACCUGUGUUUACAGUUUUCCCUGAGUGACUCACGCACUGAGAUAGACUGAGUUCGAGAGAGUCCCCGGGCUAAAAACUCUUGUAACAGAGUAUGACCGCCUGCCACCUCAUCCGUCUCCUGGCCUCCUCCAGCGGCCCGAACCUUGACCUGGGUGUUUCCUCAGGGAAUUAGCGAGCGCCAGGGUCACCACCGUAAGCCUGCCUGGUCCACAGGGAUGAGCCCCUGAGCCUCCAGCCAGCUGAGAGGUGCAGGACUGGUUUCCCUUGAGAUUCCUGGGCUUGCCAUGAGAUCUGGCAGUGACAGCAGGACUGAGGGUGAGGAGGGAAGAAACCUGACGCGCAGAGGACCACAGAAUUUGCCAGGGCCUGUCAGCUGAACAGCGGUAAUACUGGGAUCGGAAGCAACAGCCAUCUGGUUCCACGGGUGGACAAUUCCUGUCUUGCCGUGCUGCCCUCUCCAAGUCCUGGCAGUCCAGCCCGAUUUUUCCUUCUUCUCUAAAUGAGAGGAAACCAUGUCAACAAACAGGGAAGGGAACUCUGGACCAAACAGAAGGGGCCAGGCCUCUCUUUACCAAGACCUAUUGGUGGAGGGAGGGCGCAGGGGGCGGGGGGGGGGGGGUUGAUAAGCAGGUAGGUACAAAGUGGUCUGUACCAGAGAAAUUUAAAAAAUGGCAUAAGGACAUGCAUGCGAUUCAGUUACAGUGGGAGAUGGCGCAUCCCCGGGGUUUGAGAAGUUCCUUGCUCCCAUGAUUCAGGCUAGAUGCGCCUCUAGUUCUCCCUCUCUAAGGCCUGGCUGGGGACACCCACCUCACAGGACUGAGCAUAGAGAAAGCAUUCCCGUUCCCCCUUGAUCUUCCUCUCUUUACUUAACGUAUCCCUAACACACAAACAGGCGGAAGAACAUAAGGAUCAGAAGCAAAGGCAAUGGUGGGACGAGAUUGGCAGUUCUGUGGCAUGAGACGGCAAUGGAAGGGUUAAUUCAGUCUUUCUGCCAAAUAAUCCGUGUCCCCAAGUGUUUUGCUGCGCUCACACAAAAUAAAUGCAUUAUUCCAUAGUUGCUGACAUAUCACGUGAAUCUUUUCAUGCCAGCGACAUGGCCUUAAAGAUGGCUUCAUCUUGCCUAAUGAAAAGAGUCAAAAAAUACUUCAAAAGACCCACUUAGAGCCGCACAAAAUACCCGUUCUCUCAUGCAGGGUUCCACCAGUGACUGUUAAGUAUGUUAUCUCCUCGGUAAAGCCGCGGUAAGCUCAUGCAUUUUAAUAAACAAUUCUUGCUCGAACUU
Molecule: long non-coding RNA, 1647 nt
Organism: Mustela erminea (ermine)
Lineage: Eukaryota; Metazoa; Chordata; Mammalia; Carnivora; Mustelidae
Exons: 3
Source: RefSeq, a predicted model, not a curated record